UACGGCCGUAUCACGUUGAAACAUCGGUUCUCGUACGAUCACCGAAGGUAAGCAACGUCGAUCCUGAUCAGUACUUAGAUGGGCGACUGCUUGGAAUAUCAGGUGCUGU
Non-coding RNA from Acanthosepion pharaonis, 109 nucleotides. NCBI's taxonomy places the organism in Eukaryota, Metazoa, Mollusca, Cephalopoda, Sepiida, Sepiidae. The record is from the annotation of a GenBank genome assembly.